AGAAUCAACGCUGGCGGCGUGCCUAACACAUGCAAGUCGAACGAGAAAGUGGAGCAAUCCACGAGUAAAGUGGCGCACGGGUGAGUAACACGUGACUAACCUACCCUUGAGUGGGGGAUAACCUAGGGAAACCUGGGCUAAUACCGCAUAAUACCUUCGGGUCAAAGGAGCAAUUCGCUUAAGGAGGGGGUCGCGGCCGAUUAGUUAGUUGGCGGGGUAAUGGCCCACCAAGACUGUGAUCGGUAUCCGGCCUGAGAGGGCGCACGGACACACUGGAACUGAAACACGGUCCAGACUCCUACGGGAGGCAGCAGUGGGGAAUUUUGCGCAAUGGGGGAAACCCUGACGCAGCAACGCCGCGUGGAGGAUGAAGCCCCUUGGGGCGUAAACUCCUUUCGAUCGGGAAGAUAAUGACGGUACCGAGAGAAGAGCCCCGGCUAACUUCGCGCCAGCAGCCGC
This 459-nucleotide ribosomal RNA is filed under the name uncultured bacterium. RNAcentral describes it as "SSU rRNA". It matches the Rfam family "Bacterial small subunit ribosomal RNA", at positions 26 to 518 of the family's 1533-position model. The record is from RNAcentral.